UAGGGAAUCUUCCACAAUGGGCGAAAGCCUGAUGGAGCAACGCCUCGUGUGUGAUGAAGGGUUUCGGCUCGUAAAACACUGUUGUAAGAGAAGAAUGACAUUAGAGUAACUGUUCAAUGUGUGACGGUAUCUUACCAGAAAGGAACGGCUAAAUACGUUCCAGCAGCCGCGGUAAUACGUAUGUUCCAAGCGUUAUCCGGAUUUAUUGGGCGUAAAGCGAGCGCAGACGGUUAUUUAAGUCUGAAGUGAAAGCCCUCAGCUCAACUAAGGAAUGGCGUUGGAAACUGGAUGACUUGAGUGCAGUAGAGGAAAGAGGAACUCCAUGUGUAGCGGUGAAAUGCGUAGAUAUAUGGAAGAGCACCAGUGGCGAAGGCGGCUUUCUGGACUGUAACUGACGUUGAGGCUCGAAAGUGUGGGUAGCAAACAGG
RNAcentral lists this ribosomal RNA (428 nucleotides) under bacterium. Its description in RNAcentral is "partial 16S ribosomal RNA". It matches the Rfam family "Bacterial small subunit ribosomal RNA", at positions 355 to 776 of the family's 1533-position model. The record is from RNAcentral.